RNAcentral lists this non-coding RNA (23 nucleotides) under Arabidopsis thaliana (thale cress). Lineage: Eukaryota; Viridiplantae; Streptophyta; Magnoliopsida; Brassicales; Brassicaceae. The record is from RNAcentral.
CAUCAAUAAUUUGUUUACCAAGU